CCCAUUGAUAAAUUUAAAAGGCUGCAGUAUAAAUAACUGUACAAAGGUAGCAUAAUAAUUAGUUUUAUAAUUGAAAUCUAGUAUGAAAGAUUUAAUGAAACAUAAACUAUAUAAAUAAAAAUAAAAAUUUAAAUUAAAUUUUAAGUUAAAAUUCUUAAAUUUAAUUAAAAGACGAGAAGACCCUUUAGAAUUUUAUAUAUAAAUUAAUUAAUAUUUAAUUUAAUAAAAUAAUAAAUAAAUUUAUAUAUUUAAUUGGGGUAAUUUUAAAAUUAAAUAAACUUUUAAAUAUUAAUCCAUUAAUUAAUGUACCUAUAAACCUAAAUUUUAGAAUUUUAAAAUAAAUUACCUAAGGGAUAACAGCGUAAUUUUUUUUGAUAGCCCAUAUAUAUAAAAAAGUUUGCGACCUCGAUGUUGAAUUAAGAAUAAAUUAAAAGCAAAAAUUUAA
This 445-nucleotide ribosomal RNA is filed under the name Trioxys auctus. RNAcentral's name for it is "partial 16S ribosomal RNA". The record is from RNAcentral. Lineage: Eukaryota; Metazoa; Arthropoda; Insecta; Hymenoptera; Braconidae.